This 494-nucleotide ribosomal RNA is filed under the name uncultured bacterium. RNAcentral describes it as "partial 16S ribosomal RNA". It matches the Rfam family "Bacterial small subunit ribosomal RNA", at positions 28 to 507 of the family's 1533-position model. The record is from RNAcentral.
GACGAACGCUGGCGGCGUGCUUAACACAUGCAAGUCGAACGGUGAAGCGCCUUCCUUUUUGGUGGGUGUGUAUGAGUGGCGAACGGGUGAGUAACACGUGAGUAACCUGCCCCCUUCUUCUGGAUAACCGCAUGAAAGUGUGGCUAAUACGGGAUAUUCUGGGUCUGUCGCAUGAUGGGUCUGGGAAAGAUUUUGUUUCGGUUGGGGAUGGGCCCGCGGCCUAUCAGCUUGUUGGUUGGGUGAUGGCCUACCAAGGCGGUGACGGGUAGCCGGCAUGCGAGGGUCGACGACAAUAGAGGGGAGGAGACACGCAGAAGACUACGACGGGAGGCAGCAGUGAGGAUUCCGGAACAAGGGGAGGCCGGCUGAUGCAGCGACGCCGGAGGAGGGAUGGAGGCCUUAGGGUUGUGAACCUCUUUCGCCAGUGAAGAAGGCCUGCAUUGUUUGUGGGUGGGUUGACGGUAGCUGGAUAAGAAGCGCCGGCUAACUACGUG